RNAcentral lists this ribosomal RNA (415 nucleotides) under uncultured prokaryote. RNAcentral's name for it is "bacterial SSU rRNA". It matches the Rfam family "Bacterial small subunit ribosomal RNA", at positions 505 to 918 of the family's 1533-position model. The record is from RNAcentral.
GUGCCAGCCGCCGCGGUAAAACGUAGGUCACGAGCGUUAUCCGGAUUUACUGGGCGUAAAGCGCGUGCAGGCGGUCAGGUAAGUCGGGCGUGAAAUCUCUCGGCUCAACCGGGAGGGGUCGUCCGAAACUACCAGACUAGAGGGCAGUAGAGGGAGGUGGAAUUCCCGGUGUAGUGGUGAAAUGCGUAGAGAUCGGGAGGAACACCUGUGGCGAAGGCGGCCUCCUGGGCUGCCCCUGACGCUCAGACGCGAAAGCUAGGGGAGCGAACGGGAUUAGAAACCCCGGUAGUCCUAGCUGUAAACGAUGCAGACUGGGUGUUGGCAGCGUUAAACCUGCCAGUGCCGUAGCUAACGCGAUAAGUCUGCCGCCUGGGGACUACGGCCGCAAGGUUAAAACUCAAAUGAAUUGACGGGG